UGGGUAACCUGCCUCAAAGAGGGGAAUAGCCUCCCGAAAGGGAGAUUAAUACCGCAUAAUAUGUUUAGGUCGCAUGACUUUAACAUCAAAGGAUUUUCUUUUAGAAAUUCCACUUUGAGAUGGACCCCGCGGCGCAUUAGCUAGUUGGUGAGGUAACGGCUCACCAAGGCAACGAUGCGUAGCCGACCUGAGAGGGUGAUCGGCCACAUUGGAACUGAGACACGGUCCAGACUCCGUAGGGAG
Molecule: ribosomal RNA, 243 nt
Filed under: uncultured bacterium
Lineage: Bacteria
Description: partial 16S ribosomal RNA
Rfam family: Bacterial small subunit ribosomal RNA
Source: RNAcentral